CCUACGGGAGGCAGCAGUGGGGAAUAUUGCACAAUGGGGGAAACCCUGAUGCAGCAACGCCGCGUGAGUGAAGAAGUAUUUCGGUAUGUAAAGCUCUAUUAGCAGGGAAGAAGAUGACGGUACCUGAUUAAGAAGCCCCGGCUAACUACGUGCCAUCAGCCGCGGUAAUAAGUAGGGGGCAAGCGUUAUCCGGAGUUACUGGGGGUAAAGGGAGCGCAGGCGGCAGUGCAAGUCUGAAGUGAAAGCCCGGGGCGCAACCCCGGAACUGCAUUGGAAACUGGGAGUCUAGAGUACUGGAGGGGCAGGCGGAAUGCCUGGUGUAGCGGUGAAAUGCGUAGAUAUGAGGAGGAACACCAGUGGCGAAGGCGGCCGGCUAGACAGUAACUGACGUUGAGGCGCGAAAGCGUGGGGAGCAAACAGGAUUAGAUACCCCAGUAGUC
RNAcentral lists this ribosomal RNA (440 nucleotides) under uncultured bacterium. Its description in RNAcentral is "partial 16S ribosomal RNA". It matches the Rfam family "Bacterial small subunit ribosomal RNA", at positions 338 to 795 of the family's 1533-position model. The record is from RNAcentral.